RNAcentral lists this ribosomal RNA (253 nucleotides) under uncultured bacterium. RNAcentral describes it as "partial 16S ribosomal RNA". It matches the Rfam family "Bacterial small subunit ribosomal RNA", at positions 524 to 776 of the family's 1533-position model. The record is from RNAcentral.
UACGGGGGGAGCAAACGUUGUUCGGAAUCACUGGGCGUAAAGGGCGUGUAGGCGGCUGGAUAAGUGGGAUGUUAAAUCCCCCGGCUCAACCGGGGACCUGCAUCUCAUACUGUUCAGCUCGAGCACAUCAGAGGAGACUGGAAUUCCGCGUGUAGCAGUGAAAUGCGUAGAGAUGCGGAGGAACACCGAUGGCGAAGGCAGCCCCCUGGGCUAGCACUGACGCUCAGGCACGAAAGCGUGGGGAGCAAACAGG